RNAcentral lists this ribosomal RNA (301 nucleotides) under uncultured bacterium. RNAcentral describes it as "partial 16S ribosomal RNA". It matches the Rfam family "Bacterial small subunit ribosomal RNA", at positions 509 to 807 of the family's 1533-position model. The record is from RNAcentral.
CAGCAGCCGCGGUAAAACGAAGGGGGCUAGCGUUGCUCGGAAUGACUGGGCGUAAAGGGCGCGUAGGCGGAUUGUUUAGUUAGGCGUGAAAUUCCUGGGCUUAACCUGGGGACUGCGCUUAAUACAGGCAGUCUAGAGUGAGGAAGAGGGUUGUGGAAUUCCCAGUGUAGAGGUGAAAUUCGUAGAUAUUGGGAAGAACACCGGUGGCGAAGGCGGCAACCUGGUCCUUGACUGACGCUGAGGCGCGAAAGCGUGGGGAGCAAACAGGAUUAGAUACCCCUGUAGUCCCUGUCUCUUAUAC